GCACUGGUGACCAGGUGAUUUCACUGCUGGAGGCUAAAGCAGUUCCUGAUACCAACACUUAGCUUGCUGCUCAAGUAACCCAAGACUACUUUUCCUUGGAUGGCAAUGCCCACAGUGAGGGCCUUUCUAUAUCGAUUGGCAACACCCACUGACCCUAUUAACCAGCAACUCAUUCUACAGAAGUCGUGUUGCUAUAUAUCAGGUGAGUAGGAGAGAAUUCAUCUACGAAAGGAGCAUUUCAGAGUCUUCUCCUUCAGACCACUUCUGGCCCCAGUUGACUGUGGGAAAUGUACUGCUAAAGGAAAAUCUGUGAUGCUGUAGUUCAAUGCAUGGCAUCCUCAAAGACAACAUCUUCAGUGAAGAAAAGGUAGCACUAGAAUAUAGGAAGUUUAUGUGCUGAAACAGAACAGUCAAAACAAAGAAUCUAUCUCAUGAAUCAGUCAGUGAAUGUGACUGCCUCCUGUGGAUAGUGGCUUUGGAAAAACAGACCCUUUAGGGGGAGCUUAGGAAGCACACAUCUCUGAGUCCCUUGGUCCCUUACUUCUAUAAUGAGCUCUUUCCUUCUAACAUAAUGGUCUGAUUAACAUACCAUAAGCACACUGUAACCAUUUAGCUCAGAUAUGGAAUGUAAGGCUUUCAACUAGGUAUCAGGUAUUGCUGCCUUGGAAACAAAAGGUGGCAACGGAAAACAGAGGUGAGAGUCAGGCAUUGACAACUCUGCCACACACUCCAGAGAUGCAACUCCUUUCAUUUAGUCAUAUAUCACGCAAGAGAGACAGGUCUGGUGCCAUUCUCCUUCAUGGCGAGGGCAGAAAAACCAGCAAACAAAAGAAAACAAAAUCUAAGUCAAACAAAAAUGAAAAUCAAACAAACAAAAAAUAGUCUCUAAAUGUAAUCCCUAUCCUUUCGGCAUGCUGUUAAAACCUUAUUCCUUCUAGGAAACACCAAUUCUAAUAAGCAGGCAAGAAAUACAGCAUACGGCAGUGUAGAUAGAAUAUUUUCAGGAAUUGUGUGUAGAAAGAUUCCUUCUGGAAGAUUUAGACAAUAUCAAGGUACAUUGUUUUCUGACUUUUCCUCCAAGGGAAUCAAUAUAAUUUUGCUGUUACUGAGAGUACAGAUCUUCUGCUUUUCUCACUUCAUCCUAAGUCCAGUGAAAUUGCAAGAGUCUCCAUAUUUUCUUUUAUGUAGGGCAUAUCGCCAUUGUUCCAUUUGUUGAAUUAUGAUUAGAAAUAAUUGAAGUUUUCUUUUCUUUUUGUUGGAAAAAUUAAAAUGUAGCUGUGCUUAAAGUAUGAAAACAAAGUAAAAGGGGAAUGUAGGCCAUGAAUGACUUUGACAGAGCCUUUGGACCCAUUUAAGGAAGGACAAAGGUUUAGAAAAUACAAUACCAAAUAACAGUGAACACAUGAAGUUUACAGAGGAGUUUCCAUGCUUAUAACACCACUACUCUUACCAAAAUCAAUUCUGGAUAAAUAUCCACGUGAAUCAAUACCAGGUAUGAAGCUUGAAACAAAGUGAUUGCUUUAAACGAUUUCCAAUACAUCACAUCUUAUUAUAUUAGGAUAUGACAGGUUAUGCUGUGCUUCAUUGAGUUACAUAAUAUCAUUUUGAAUAUAACUCCAAGUCUACCUAAUGUAGGAUGAUGAAUCAGAAAAUAAAAUGGCAAGGACCCAUUUACUUCUAAAUCAUAAAUUAGAUUUCUUUGUCCACACACGAGGAAGUAAGGGAGCCAAGAGGGCUUCUAGGAUGGUAGGCUCAUUCAUGUCAAUUAACAACAACCAACCACUCUCCUUAAUUCUUUAUGGUCAUAAAAGCCUUCUGAGUCUGGAAGGACUGGCAUAAAUUAGAUAGCACCUCUGUGAACAGUGGAUAUCUGCAUGGAUCUGUGGGGGUGUGGGGUGAUCCUGUCCGAAGUAUUCUUUCAAAUCUAAAAUAUCAGAAAUCAAUUGUAGGUAAAAAUCAUUAUCUUGUCAGAAAAAACCAUGAUGGCCUGCUUUGAUUUCAUUAUAAGACAUUUUAAGUGUGGAAGUAAACUUAAUAAUCACAUGCAAAAAGAUCCCAGUCACCAUAAAAUCAGUAAAUAAAACGUGCAUUGCUAUAUAUUCCAAGAUAUGAACACAGGGAAUAAACAUUAAGAAGCAGGGUGUUUAAUUAAAGUAAGAAGAACAUGGU
Molecule: non-coding RNA, 2169 nt
Organism: Rattus norvegicus (Norway rat)
Lineage: Eukaryota; Metazoa; Chordata; Mammalia; Rodentia; Muridae
Source: RefSeq, a predicted model, not a curated record